RNAcentral lists this ribosomal RNA (253 nucleotides) under uncultured bacterium. Its description in RNAcentral is "partial 16S ribosomal RNA". It matches the Rfam family "Bacterial small subunit ribosomal RNA", at positions 524 to 776 of the family's 1533-position model. The record is from RNAcentral.
UACGUAGGUGGCGAGCGUUGUCCGGAAUCACUAGGCGUAAAGCGCGCGCAGGCGGCGAUCUACGUCUGGGGUGAAAGCCCGGAGCUCAACUCCGGGACUGCCUUGGAUACGGGAUCGCUUGAGGAUCGGAGAGGCAAGGGGAAUUCCACGUGUAGCGGUGAAAUGCGUAGAGAUGUGGAGGAACACCUGUGGCGAAGGCGCCUUGCUGGCCGAUUUCUGACGCUGAGGCGCGAAAGCGUGGGGAGCAAACAGG